CAAAGGGCUGAAUCUCAGUGG
Molecule: non-coding RNA, 21 nt
Filed under: Arabidopsis thaliana (thale cress)
Lineage: Eukaryota; Viridiplantae; Streptophyta; Magnoliopsida; Brassicales; Brassicaceae
Source: RNAcentral